Non-coding RNA from Podarcis lilfordi (Lilford's wall lizard), 15981 nucleotides. The record is from the annotation of a GenBank genome assembly. NCBI's taxonomy places the organism in Eukaryota, Metazoa, Chordata, Lepidosauria, Squamata, Lacertidae.
AUACCUCCGCGCCCUCCCCGUUUGAAGCAGAAGUCUCUUGUUUUCCUUCAACAGCCAUCCUGGACGGCUGGCAUCGUCGAGGCCACCAGGUAAGGUCAGGCUGCGGAUCCGCGAGGCUUGCUUGCAAGAAGCUGCCGAGCCGAGGCGGCAACUUUCUGCACCUCUACCAUUGGUUUUGGCGUGGGUGGGGGUAGGAUUGCUUGUGAGUAAAUAGGCAGGGGGAGGUUUGGGGAGAAAGGGUGAAGGGGCAGAACAGGAAAUGAGGGAUUUGGAUCGAUAACCCGGCAUCUGUGGAAAGCUUUGAGCACAAGCCUUGUCAGCCUAUUCCCUCCCAACCCUCCUUAAACAGAUGACUUGCCUUUUGCAACCAAUCCUACCUACACACACAAAUCCCUCAGUAAAUUCCCUCAAUUUCUUGUUCCAUUCAUCCAGUGCCCAAUUUAUGUAUAAGCUAAACAAGCUAUAGCUUAGGGCCCCACUCUCUUGGGGGGCCCCAAAAAAUUUAAAGGGGGGAAAACUGGAUAUACAUUUCCAAAAUAGAAGAUUAAAAACAAAUAAAAUAAAAUCUACAUAUAGCAACAGUGUUUUGUGUUGUGUAAGCUCCUAUGAUGUAAGUAAUGGGGCCCCGCCUGCUCCCUAAAAUAUUCAACACAAAAAACAGUGGCAAUUUGUUGUUGACAAAGGACAGCUGGACAUAUAAAGGGCCCCAUUACCUUCAAUAGCUUAGGGCCUCAUCAAACCUAAAUCCAGCCCUGCAUGUAUCCAUUGCAUUAUAUAUGUAUGUGUGUGUGUGUUUUGUUGCAUCUUUUAUGUUUUUAUCUAUUGUAUUACAAUUUGAAUUCAGUUUGAAUUCAAAUUGUAAUGUAAUAAACUGCAAUUAAAAAUCAUACAGCAUCUAGCACAGUGCAUUGAAAUUUUCUACAAAAGGCAGAAAAACCAUUAAGUGGUCCCUCCAGAGUCCCAGCAAUUUUCAAGUGAUCCAUUAGGUGGUUGUGUGGAGUAGUUUAGGAACCCCUGUUCUAGAAGGUUAAUGGAUGGCUUUCAUGUGUGAACAAGCCAUCAAAUACUGAACAGGUAGAACAUUCGUGUUUCCUUAGACACAUGGGGUUUCAAUGGAAUCAAUCCAUACACAGAAAUCAUGUGCUUAUGCGCAUGUGUGAACCAGCCCAUAUGAGAGUUUUCUCUGACAUGCAUAGUAUUGUUUGGUUAUACUUUGUGAGCAGCAGAAGUUGCCCUCUUGCUAACUACACACACACACACAGAUGGGAAACUCAGGAAAUAAGUUCCCAGAAAUAGAAGUUAAAACUCAUCUGCUUACUCAAGCAAUGGGUGGAGAAAGCCCAACUCAGCUGGCUGUCUUGUAUUUUCACUUAUGUAGCCCUCCAUCUUCUUCUACUGGUAUAAAAAGGGCUAUAUUAAUAAAGCUAAUUCCAUACAUUAUAGGGCACAUCCCUCUAUUCUAAUAUCUGCCCCAUCAUUAAGCACCAGCAUUAUUAGCAAGAGGUUAUUGAGAGGGGAAAGUGGCCAGCUGGCACCCUGCAGACUAGGAUUUAAUUAACCAUUUAUGUGAGGUUGGGGCCUCUUGCUUGGAUAAUGUGGCUGCUCACUUGAAAGGGAUUAACUCAGAGCCAGGGAAUAGGUAAUAAAGGCUUCUCUUGAGCAGCUGCCUUGGUGACUGGUAAUUUAAUUGGCGAGUCUGAAACCCAUUAAAGAGAGGAGCAUUGAAAAGCAGGGCGGAAGGGUCAGGGACACCCCAUCCUUGGGAAAGGGUCAAAGCCAAGGGAAGACCUUGACCUGCUCUAAGGGAAGAAGUUCCCAGAGCUAGAAAUGUAGAUUUAAGAAGGGCGUGUGUGACUGUAGGUGAAGAAACAGCACGGAAGGCAGUGGGGUCAAGAAGAUGCUUGCAGGCAGUGGUAACUGGUGCCUAUUGGGACUUGCAGGGUGAAAGCUGGAGAUGUCCACAGUAGGUAGAGCCAGAACCAAAAACAGGCACAGCCAACUAAUUCUAUUUUUGCCCCCAGCACCCUCCUUGCCGAGUUAUACAGCAGCAACAUGGAGACUGAGAAGCAAAAAGUACCGGCUAGUGCCACCCCCAGACUGCUUGUAGCACCUAGUUUAGGCAAUCCUAUCCAGCUGUGUUGAUGUGUUUCAACCUUAGUGUUUUUUAUAUUUAUUGUAAACUGCUUAGAAGUUUUACUACCAUCGAGCAGUAUGUAAACUGUGCAACGUAAGCAAGUAAAUUUUGCCUUAAUAGAGACCAGCCUCUCCUGCUUUUGCAGGUCCUGCAGGUUUUGGGGGAAGGGCCUUAGCUCUCCUCUACUUAACCCCACCCACUUAACAUCAUUCCUCUCCCACCUGUGGCUCAGCUCCUGUGUUAAAGUGGCCCCUUUUUUUCCUGGUUGCCUUAGUUAAGCCCUGUUACAUGGAAGCCAAAGCAGAUGCAAAAUAGAAGUGAGCAGCUGCGGUUCUUAAUAAAGGGAGAGUGCUGGUUGAGCAUCUGUUGAUGUUCACAGUGGGGAGCAGAGAUUUCUCAAAGCCUUUUUGCCUGUGUCUUGGCCAUACUGGGCAUUAUAGGAGAAGUGGAGAACACUCUUCCCUCCAGAUUUUGUUGGAUUCGACCUUCCAUCAGCCCCAGCUCCAAUGGUCAGGGUCAGGAUGAUGGAGAAAUGUAGAGCAAAAACUUAUGGAGGGCCACAGGUUCCCCAGCCCUGUGGGUGUUGUCAAUUCUCUUCUUCGCUCAAGUAUUAUUCUUACAAUGUUUCUCCAGUGUUUCUCCUUAUUGCUUUUAAACUGCUUGAAACCAUUUUCCUGCCAGCUGCCAUUUUAUUACCUUUUUAGUAUUGUGUUGUAGCAUUUUAAAUAGAAGUUCAGUAUGCCCAAAGACUUCAGUGUAUUUUCAUAUUGGGUGGGGAGGACUAUGCACAUAUGUGAACACGCGCACAACAGUAGUUCAACUAUAAUUUCUGGUGUAUUAAUACCAUAUGGCGCACACAUACACAUACACACACACACAGCUUGCAAAAAAGCUGCUUGUGAAGGAGUGGCCCUUUUGCGUUUCAAAACCCCACAAACAUUUGCAUGGUGGAUAAACAUGCACAUCUACCGAAGUUUGCAUUUCACAGAAUCAUAGAGUUGGAAGGGAAACUGAGGAUCAUCUAGUCCAGGGGUAGUCAACCUUUUUAUACCUACCGUCCACUAAUGCCUCUUUCUUGAUGGUAAAAUUUCCUUACCACCCACCAGUGUUCAAUGGAAGGAAGAUUCAGCUUGUGCCGUAGAACCCCCUACCGCCCACCUAGAAUCCUAAAACGCCCACUAGUGGGCGGUAGGGGCCAGGUUGACAGCCCCUGAUCUAUUCCAACCCCCUGCAAUGCAGGAAUAGGCAGCUGUCCCAAACGGGGAUUGAACCUGCAACCUUGGCAUUAUCAGCACCACGCUCUAACCAACUGAGCUAUCCACAUGUCCCACUUCAUUUCUAGACCACUAUAAGGGAAUUGUACUCUUAAGUGGUUCCCCCCAAUGUAGGAGGUAUCUAUGAGAAUGAAACGGAGACCAGCUUUUGAAACAAGAGAGUCAUACAUGUGCCACAGACCAUGCCUUACUGUGGAUGGGAAGCAGGGCUGUGGAGGAAUGUUAAUGCCCACAGCUCUCUGAUUCAUGCCAUAAAUAGUAAAUGUAUCAGACAGAGUCAUAGGUAUUGAUGCUUCAGUUUUUCUUGUGUUACGGAGCUUAGCAAAUGGAAUUAGAUUGCGGGGCCUUUCUUCCUGAUCCUGCUAGGAAGCACACACACACACACACACACACACACACACCCCUUCCUUCAACAUACACACAUCCCAGAUGCUGGGUGGAAGAUUUUGUUGCCUGCUGCUGCUGCUCCAACCCCAAGGAUUAACCUCCAUAGGAAGAGUUUGGAAUGGGGGAGGGGAAAAGGAUGGAGGAGGAAAUGCAAUUCUGAGCCCACCAGGAGGCCAUGCAAAGCCUUCCCCUCCCCCCACAGCGGCAGUGCUAAGCAUCUUCUGUCUCCAUGGCAACAUAUCUGUGGCUAGCUGCCCAUUAGGUUACUUGGCUGUGGGCUUAUUUUGCAAUAUAUUAUUUUUUUAUCCCUCCUCCAUUUGCUUGGAGAUUUAUGCUCUUUCCCAGCUUUUAGAAACAGGAUUUCAGUUCUCCCCUCUCCAACCCCCCCCCUUUUUUUAGCCCACAUUUUUUGUACUGACACAUAUGGAGAGCACAUGUUUUCCCAAAGCCACAGCUCUCUGUUUGAGGUGGGAAGGCGGAUAGAACAAAUCUCCCAGCCUUCAUGAGGAAAAGUUGCUGAUGCGGUGGCAAAUGUUUGAGAGUCAGCUCUCUCUCACACACACAUACACACAUACCCAUGCUGUUGACAAUAUGGCAUUCAAAAUGGAGGCCACAAGAAUGUGAGGAAGAGCUCAAGGGGUAACGUGCUAAAUUGGAGAGGCGAAGCAACAGAGAAAUUGAAAACUGGUGGAGAAAGGCAAGGCAAGCUUGAGUACAUCAGCAGAGGGGGCAAGAACACAUUUCUCCAAGGCAUGCUAAAUGACCACUGCUUUAAUUGAUUCACAGCCAUGAACCACCAAGGUCUCCUUCAGUGUCUUUUUUUCUCAAUGACUUGUACUCAUGAUAGCAUUGGUUUGCUUAUAUGCAAUGCCAAUUGCAGUCCAAAACUGUCUGUGCCUGCAACUGUUUUGGGACAGACAUUCUGCUAUGUUUCCAAGCAGUGCAUGGCCUGUAAAGGUAAAGGGCCCCUGACAGUUAAGUCCAGUCGCGAACAACUCUGUGGUUGCAGCGCUCAUCUCGCUUUACUGGCCGAGGGAGCUGACAUUUGUCCGCAGACAGUUUUUCCAGAUCAUGUGACCAGCAUGACUAAGCUGCUUCUGGCGAAACCAGAGCAGCGCACGGAAACACUGGGAGCCAGUGUGGUAUAGUGGUUAAGAGCAGUAGACUCGUAAUCUGGUGAACCGGGUUCGCAUCCCCGCUCCUCCACAUGCAGCUGCUGGGUGACCUUGGGCUAGUCACACUUCUCUGAAGUUUCUCAGCCCCACUCACCUCACAGAGUGUUUGUUGUGGGGGAGGAAGGGAAAGGAGAUUGUUAGCCGCUUUGAGGCUCCUUAGGGUAGUGAUAAAGCGGGAUAUCAAAUCCAAACUCUUCUUCCACCUUCCCCCCAGAGUGGUACCUAUCUAUCUACUUGCACUUUGACAUGCUUUCAAACAGCUAGGUUGGCGGGAGGCAUGGCCCAUAGCUUCCUACUUAAACCCUGUAGUUUUUCAUACCACAAAUGUUCUGCGGGGGGUGGGGGGCUGUCCCGCUUUUGUUUCUCUAUAUAGCACAAGAAUGUCCCUCCAGAUGGCGAUAAUGCCGUACCAUUUGGGAAGCAUUGCUGAACAACUAAAAAGAAGCAGAAAAUGUGCGGACAGUCCAGUACAACUAACAAAUUAAUAUUAUUAUCAUUAUUAUUGUGUUAAUAACUUGUUGCUGAAUACACCCACAAAAGAAGUCCGAAGGGGCCCUGAUAAAGUUGUGAAAAUAAACAGAAGCCAAUCACAUUUUCAAAGCCUCUGCACUUUACAGAUUACACCAAUUCCCCUACACAGCAAUUGAGUUCCAUUUAGCAAUGUUAUAACGUGUCCCUUAGCUCUGCUUGGCAGAAUACAUUCCUCCAAGUUAAGCGUAAGAGUGGAAAUGGGAUGGGAUCCCAGAAUGUAACAGACACAUUUUUGUAUCCCUUUAGAGAGGACAAGCAAGGACACACGCAGAGGGGAAGCCAUAUGGAAUAAUUAAUAAGCAUGUUUUGGCUCUGUGUAUAUGCUUGUUAUUAUGAGCGGUGCAAUGUUUUCCAAGCAUGCUUGUGAGCAUCUGCAGCAAAGAAGCAAUUACAUUACAUGUACCAUGGACUCUCCAACAAAGCCCUGCACUCUAGCCUCUUCACGAUGAUGAUGAAGCAGCAUCAAAUUCAUCAGACAUGUCACAUAAUUUCCAUUGUCACCAGCUAGAGAAAACUGGCCUGCACCUAGGGCUGUUGAGAAACAUCAAGCCCAAGCUUAGACAGUGAACAGGUAUAGCCAGUGGGCUACAUGUGAAUGAACCUUUCUUUUUCUUAGUGGGAGAGUCAUGGUGAACAGGGAAAUAGAUGCCUUUGAGUUACAAUGUGGCCUGUUUCAACAGUCAAUGGUCACAUUAGGUUAUGCAUUUCAUAGCACUGUAAGCAGAAACCCAGAUUCCUUGGUUGUAUCAUACAUGCCACGCAGACACGGCUCUUUGCCACCAUUUUCUGUCAUAACAGCAUUCCUCAAGGACUUGUUCCAGAGCAAAGAUCAUCCUUACAUCUCAAUUCUAUUCCAUGUAUAAAAGGUAAAGGGACCCCUGACCAUUAGGUUCAGUCGUGGCCCACUCUGGGGUUGCGGCGCUCAUCUUGCUUUAUUGGCUGAGGGAGCCGGCAUACAGCUUCCGGGUCAUGUGGCCAGCAUGACUAAGCUGCUUCUGGCGAACCAGAGCAGCGCACAGAAACGCCGUUUACCUUCCCGCUGUAGUGGUACCUAUUUAUCUACCUGCACUUUGACGUGCUUUUAAACUGCUAGGUUGGCAGGAGCAGGGACCGAGCAACGGGAGCUCACCCUGUCGUGGGGAUUCGAACCGCCGACCUUCUGAUCAGCAAGUCCUAGGCUCUGUAGUUUAACCCACAGCACCACCCCCGUCCCUAUUCCAUGUAUACUUAGAAAUAAUUCCCACAAUGUUCAAUGAGGCUUGCUCCCACGAGUGUGUGCUUGCAUUGCAGUCUUAGUGACAUUCGUAAAAAACAGCUGAAGACAUGCAGACACAUUUUCUCUUAUGCAGAGGAAGCUGCCAUUAGUCCAUCUAGCUCAUUCCUCUUCUCCAAGCAGCAGGGGCCCUCCAAACGUUUCAGGCAGAGAGGCCUCACCGCCUUGCUAUCUGUGAUCCUUUUAAUUAGUGAUGCAAUGGACUGAAUCUGGAGCCAUCUGCAUCUAUGCCUGCCCCUAUCAGCAUGGCAAAGCCUUCCAAGUUAUAAAGGUAGAAAUUAAAGGGUAUUUGAGGUGAGUCAGGGUGUUGUGAAAUCAGAAUAUUACUGUCCUUCAUACCUAUGAAAAGCUAAUGUCCAGUUACCAAAUUAGAAUUGCAAAUUGAACUUCCACAGAAUUUAGCGCUUGCUUUCUUAAUUUAUGCUGUGCUUUUUCUCUUGCUGGGGGGAAAGUGGUAUGUAAGGAGAAGAGAUGGUUGGCAUCUCAGCUUCACGGAGCUAACUUGUCAAUGGCUUUAGCAGGCACCCAGCUGCCGAUGCUUACAAGGGGAAUGGGAUGAGCUAGUUGUCUUUGAGGAUCAGACCGCUGGGAGUCAAUCAGCCUUGACAGCGCUGCUGAGUUUUGCACUGUGAUGGCUUGAGCAUCUCCCAAGGGCAAAAGGCAGCCACUUAUCAGCACUUUGCCAAGCAUGGAAGGAGGCAGCAAAUAGUUCACAAAUAGCAGGGGGAGAAAAAGCCCCGUGAUCAAAGCUAUAGGGAGUGCAAAUCUGCUUCCUUAACCCCUCCCACCGUUGCCCAUCACUGUUUGUUCUCAUAAGUACAUUUAGUUGCCGGUUUAAUAAUGGGAAAUGAUAAGUGAAGCCUAAGGAGCUAAGGAUUUAGGAUAUUGUGCACUGGAGCAAAUGUACAGGUUGGACUUACACUGGAUGCAUGCUAGCAAUGCACAGUAAUGUGUGACCCACAUUCUGGAAAUUCAUGAGCUGUCUGCCUCCUCCUAUCUCUUUCUCCAAGCAAAGCUCCUGCAUCCCAAGAGAAAGUGGCAAUAGCCAGAGGACCACAGGCAAUUAUGGCGACUACCAUUCACCAAUCCCCUAAAUGCCCAGCACAAAGUGAGAAAUGUUCUCCCUUCUCUAAGUUCUCUACGCAUUGCAGAGAAUUCACUGCGGUGCAAUCCUACACAUAGGGUGGUAUCCAGUUUGCUCACUGUGUUAGCACAUGGGUUUCCCUUUGCACAAUGGAACUUCUCCUUCUUCUCUCCCCAUGUGUCCUUGCUGCACCCUCCCCAAAUUGGCUGCAGGGGUUUGAAGGAACCACCAGAAUAGAUUUAGGGGGCAAGCAGUGAAAGGAAGGUGAGAUGAAGCUCUGUUGCGCAGCCCAAAGUUCUUCUGCUAACAGAACUGCUUUGUUGGCCACCACCCCCAGUUUCCUGGGAGUACGCUCCAGAUGAACUCAUUGAUGCUUACGUCCAGACUGCUUAGGUUCAAAACACAUUGAGAUUUAGCAAAAGAUCCACAUCCACAUGAAUUCCAGCCUUCAGCUUUUAAUAAGAAAUGCAAACAAGGAUCUUGCAAACAAGUGUUACGGUUUAAACUGUUAGUGUGAAGUAGGAACCCCAUUAAAGAAAAGGAAAUAUGCAUUAGCCUCUGCUUGAUUAUUUCCCUCCAUCUGUUCCUCUCUGCUAAUCUGCCACAAACAACCCUGAAAGCCUUAUUCACUUGCCAGAGCAAGUGAAUUUACGGUGGCAGAAGAUGAUGUCCUGCUUGGCGAAAAAAGUCCUGAAAUUUCACUCGCCUGCAUUCUCUUUCCGCUACACAACUGACUUGAAGUAUGAGGCAACUUUUGCUUCACACGGGACCUUCCCGCAGAACUUGAACUAAGUGACCCUUUUACUUUGCACCCUGUGUGGAGAGAUUAUUAGAAGCAGAGCUAGCGAGGGGGAAUUGUGUUGCUUCUGACUAGUCCAAAGCCCAGAUCAAAGUGAGAGAUAAGAUACAGUGCUGCCUGUUGCUCUGCAGAGUAGAAGGCACAGAGACCAAAAGGAGGUGGAACCAGAGCCAAUAGGAGGCAGAGUCAACUCAUUUUGCCCCUAAAUGCCUCCCUGCUAAAUUCUACAACACUGAGAUUAAGGGAAAGGAAGCAGACAGGCAGUGCCUUCCCCCUGGACUGGUUGCAAGUAAAAAGCCAACAAUGCCAUACUUGAAAAAUCCACCCUGAACCAAGUGGGGAGGGCAAGUAGGUGGAGUUUGUUUGUUUUUUUUAAAAUAAUAUUUAUUACAUAUUUAAAGUUCCAAAAAAGAAAAAGAAAAACAAUACAAAAUACAAAGAAAACUUUAGCCAUAACAAAGCAAGAAAUAAAGAAGUAAAAAAGAACAAUAAGAUAGAAUAAAAAAGAAAACUUAACAAAAAAUAUAAAAAUACAUUGAGUUAAAAAACAAAAACAGAUUAAACCUUUACAUAGCCUUUUCCCUUUACUUAUUUCCAUGACCUCCUCUCACCUCCCAGUUUUGUAUUCUAGUUCAGAUCGUGUUUCCAGCAAAUCCUUCUAACCUUAUUUUCAUUUACGUAUUUUAAAAUUAAAAUAAUGUGAUUAGACCUCCUCUAUUUCAUCAAUUUCAUCAACUCAUUUUGCUUAGACCAUUAUAUCAUCUCUACCAGAACGACCUAAUAUUCUUUUUCCAACCUCUUUCUAACAUUCUUUUAUAUUGCAGUACUUUUGAAGAUAUAUUUUGAAUUUUUUCCAGUCUUCUUCCAUCGACCCUUCUCCCUGGUCUCGAAUUCUGCCGGUCAUCUCAGCCAAUUCCAUGUAGUCCAUCACUUUCAUCUGCCAUUCUUCUCGGGUGGGCAAUUCUUGUGUCUUCCAGUACUUCCCGAUGAGUAUUCUUGCUGCUGUUGUAGCAUACAUAAAGAAAGUUCUAUCAAGUAGGUGGAGUUUGGAGCACUCCCACUUUUAGAGGGGAAUACAGUGGUAGCAGAGACAUCACCUUGCCAACAAAGGUCCAUAUAGUUAAAGCCAUGGUUUUCCCAGCAGUGAUGUAUGGAAGUGAGAGCUGGACCAUAAAGAAGGCUGAUCGCCGAAGAAUUGAUGCUUUUGAAUUAUGGUGCUGGAGGAGACUCUUGAGAGUCACAUGGACUGCAAGAAGAUCAAACCUAUCCAUUCUGAAGGAAAUAAGCCCUGAGUGCCCACUGGAAAGACAGAUCCCGAAGCUGAGGCUCCAAUACUUUGGCCACCUCAUGAGAAGAGAAGACUCCCUGGAAAAGACCCUGAUGUUGGGAAAGAUUGAGGGCACAAGGAGAAGGGGACGACAGAGGACGAGAUGGUUGGACAGUGUUCUCGAAGCCACAAACAUGAGUCUGACCAAACUGCAGGAGGCAGUGAAAGACAGGAGUGCCUGGCCUGCUCUGGUCCAUGGGGUCACGAAGAGUCGGACAUGACUAAACGACUAAACAACAACAACACAGUGGUACCUCGGUUUACGAACUUAAUCCGUUCUGGAAGUCCGUUCUUAAACCGAAACCAUUCUUAAACCAAGGCACGCUUUCCCUAAUGAGGUCCGCUCUUAGACUGAGGUAAAGUUCGCAAACCGGAACACUACUUCCAGUUUUGCAGAGUUCGUAAACCGAAUAGUUUGUAAACUGGGCUGUUCUUAAACCAAGAUACCACUGUAACCACUUUUUUGAAAUUCCACUAUUUUUAAAAAAUAAUGCUCUAAUUCUUUAAAUGGGAGCUGUCACAGCAUAAAUAUACAGUACUUUAAAAAAAUUAUUAGGCAGGGCAAUGCAGCUCCUAGCUGCAGUCCUUUGAAGGUGAGACUCUGCUGUUAUACUGGGCCCAAACCAGAUAAAGAGUGGGUACAGAGGGCGUUCAUUUGUUCAUCUGUUGUAGUCUUUCCUCCAGAGCAACAUUCUAUCUUCACAACAACAACCCUGGGAGGUAAAACAGGCUGAGAGAUAGCAAUUGACCAAGGUCGCCCAGUGAGAUUCACAGUUGAAUGGGGAUUAGAACCUGGAUUUCCAAUUGAAAUAAAAGAAAUAAGGUCAUAUAUAUAUAUAUAUAUAUAUAUAUAUAUAUAUAUAUAUGUGUGUGUGUGUGUGUGUGUGUGUGUGUUUUAUAUAUAUGACCAAAUGUUUUCUCUGCAAGGUCGAAGGAAAUGGAAAAGCCCUCCCAUUGUCUUUUCCUUCACAAAUCCUGUCUUAAGGGUAUGUCUGUGUAUGAAUAGGGUGAGCCUGUGACCUGGCUCAGGAACUAAGUAUUUAUCAUUGCAAAAGACUGGCCAGGCUCCCCAGGGUAUCCAAUCAAGUAAGCAUUAACAGGUAACCUGCCAGACAGGAGAUAAACAACACACUCAGAUUUGUGUUGUAGACCACCCCUUUCUGUGAUGUAUGUAUGAUAUUUCUGAGGGUGGUCUUGGACUCUAAGGUGGGCAAUUUAAAAUGUCUAUACAGUGGUGCCCCGCAAGACGAAUGCCUCGCAAGAUGGAAAACCCGCUAGACGAAAGGGUUUUCCGUUUUUGAGUUGCUUCGCAGGACGAAUUUCCCUAUGGGCUUGCUUCGCAAGACGAAAAUGUCUUGCAAGUCUUGAGAUUUUUUUUCCGCUUUUCGCCCCCUUUAUCUAACCUGCUAAGCCUUUAAUAGCCUUUAAUAGCCUUUUAGCAGCUAAUCCGCUAAGCCUUUAAGCCUUUAAUAGCCGCUAAACCGCUAAUAGCGCUAAUCCGUUAAGCCGCUAAUAGGGUUGCUUCGCAAGACGAAAAAACCGCUAGACGAAGACUCUCGCGGAACGGAUUAAUUUCGUCUUGCGAGGCACCACUGUAUAAGGGUGGGCACACCUUUGUUCGGGGUCCUCCUCCUCCUGCGUGUGAAGGGGGCACCCUGUUUCAACAGUUCAAUAAAGAUCAGGCUUACGAGAUGCUUUGCUUCUCAAUAUUCUCUGGUUGGCCUUUGUUCUUUUCUCCGACCGAUGGAGAACCUACAAAGGACUCUAUAAGGGCUCUUGUGUCCCCCAUAAGGGAAUAAUGGCAGAUUUUCAUUUAUUACAGAAGCAUUCCAAUACCAGCUUUCAAAAGAAAGAUGCAAACUCCCCUAAGUUGCAAGCAGAAUGAGGAAGGGAUGUCUGGGCUUUGGGAGAGGGGCAGUAAGUGGGCAACUGAGGGGUAGUGGCUGGAGUGUUGGAUCAGGACCAAGAAACCUAGUUUCAUUGCUGAAUACAGAUAUGGAUUCAAUUAAAGCAACCUUGGCCAACCGCUGUCUUCUUUGCCUAACCUACUUCAUAGGGCUGUUGUAUGCUGCAGUAAGUUCCUUGGAGGAAGGGUUGGAUACAAUACAAUAAGCUGGGUGGGGAGUCCUUCAGAAUUUGCAGUGUAUGCAGAUUCACAUGUGAGAUAAUGGCACUCUAGCAAUCCUAAUUACCAUUCCCGGUCCUCUCCUCCACAGGAAAGUUGGAUUAACGUGACAGGACAUUCUCCAAGCAGGAGGAGGCUGACAGUGAGGCAAAGCCAUCUUGUUUGUCCAUUGUAAACCAGCAGAGAACCCAUGAGCAUGGUUGGGAUUUAGAGUGCUGCUAAUGAGGUAGGAAAAACAGAUUUUUCUAAUGGUCCUCACAUUUUGUUAGGGUGUGUGUGGAAACAGCCGGCAGUCCUCUCGCAGCACAAUCAGGGUUUUCCUUGGGCAGUAGUGACCAAGCCAUGGUUGGCAACAGAAAUAGCUGUUCUUUUCAGUCCCUUGAAACAUCACAUCACAUAUCUUCAGAUGGAAUCUGAUCUGACCAGCCAGAGAGCUCCCUUCACCUGCACCAGAGUCCUUCUCAUCAAGAUGCCACAACAACCUUUAUACCCUGACAAGACUCUCUAGUAAACCUGGAAGAUAAUUAAAUGAGUCUCUGGGACCGCUGCUCUUACCGGAGGCGAUGGUUGGAAUUUUGAGACAUCAUCAAUUUCCAAAGAAAGUAGAGGCACUGAGGUGUGUGUGUGGUUUUUUUAGUGCAUCUGAAUAAUUAAAAUGCCUUGAGCCAUCAAAAUACAAUUGGGAGCUGCCCAGAAGGCUCACCUCAAAUCACCUACUCAGAAGAGCAAGGUGAAUGAUUCAGAUACCUGACUGCCUUGGUCUUGCAUAUAAGCUGGAGAUAAGUGAAAGCAUAGUUUAAUCAUUAAGAUAAUUCCUCUGUAGGCCAGGGCUUCUCACCAAUCAGUUACAAGGAGCAAUCUGGUGUGGUGCAUUUCUUGGUCUAGGUACCUUAAAAACUCUUUUGCUGAAAAUCUCGGGAACUGAUACAUUAUCACAUGACAGGGGAACAGCAGCCAUUCUCUCCAGUCUGGAGAAAUUACCAAAUACCUGAAACAAGAUAAGCGGUCAUGAUCUGCAGAUGGUGACAGAUGUCACAGGAUAGGCUGUAACAGUGGGAUGAUUUCUGCAAAUGUGUGCAUUCACAUUCUGACAAACAAAAGUGGCUUCUGAGAUGCUUAGGGCCCCGAAAUUGGGGGGGGGGGGACACACAAUCUUGGAAAUGUUAAGAAUCAGCUCCCACCACAUGCAAAAGAGAGCAGGUGUUUACCAAGUCCUUUAUCUUUCUCUCAUUAAUCUAAAACUCCAGAUUAUUUGAAUCCAACAUAAAUUCUUCACAUGCAGAGUCUCUGUAAAUAACAGCUCCUUGUUGUAUUUGCUCAAACUGUUUUAAGCCUCUCUCAAGGCACUUAGUUAAAUGAAUAAUGUUAAAAUGUACCAGUUUGAAAUUUAGUAACACAUUUAUUAGAGGAACAAUAAAACAGAGGACAACUAGCACUGCUUCUUUCACUCUUUGAUACAUUUUGGAAGAUAAUGGAGCCAGGAGAGAAAACCCACCUUUAUUAGGUUGUGUCAUUCCAAAAAGGGUUCCCCUGGCUACCAGUGCAUUUAAUUAGAUAAGGCCAUUGUGCAAUUGUUUCACGGGUCUAAUUACUGCUCAGAGGAAUCCAGAGGUCUGGCUUGUUUUAUCUGCCUAGAAAAAGAAGAAAAUAGCAUCAAUCAAUGGUUUCCCUCCCCAGUUCUUUUCCAUUGUGUCCUUUGGAGUGGCUAAAAUAAAAUACUUAAUCUGAGCAAAAGGAUGUCAAAUGGGUUUUUCAAAGCUCUUCUCUUGAAGGAGCAGCUGAGAGGUUGGCAGCAGGCAAGCAUCUCCUAAAAUGGGAUCCUAAAAUGGUUCCAUGCCCUCAGGCCUCUGUGCCAACCACUGGCAAGCCCAAGUGGCUGAGCAUCAAGACUGGCUGCUGCCCAAUGGGCAGCUUUUCAACUCCACCACAUGCUUGUUCUGCCAAGUUCCCUUUAGGUAUCUAAACAUCCAGCAUUUCCAGCCCAGCUCAAGAGACUGAUUUUAAUCUCUCCUGACUGCUGUGUCUCAUACAGACAUGCAGUACACCAGCACUGACUGGGGUACUCUCCAAACUGUGUGCACUUUUAGUUAAAAUUAGCUGGAGUUACAAAUCAAGAACUGUUACUCUCCAAAUAGAAAGAAGAGAGUUGUGUCGGACAGCAGAUUGGGAGAACUGUGCCUGUCUCCUGCUCCAGCAGAACACCUGGGGAAACUCAUGGUUCAUGCCUCAGAUUUCUCAUGAUUAAAAAUGUGGAUCAUAAACCACUCACCAUCACCGGUUCCACCUAUGGAGGUUAUGAUAUUCAACAGAGUAUUGGAAACUAUUCAGAUGGAAACACAAGGGCUUACUUAGCAUGAAAUAUAUGAACCUAGACAGCCCAUGUGACAACAAGUGGCACUCCUACAUCAGAACUAUAAUGGACAUAAGAACAAGGUGCUUGAAAAGGACCAGGGCAUGACGUGUCAGUGGAGCUAUAAAUACGACUCUGUUCUUUGCCAUUUAAUCUGGUUAAAGGGGGCAAAAAUUGCCUGCUCGAAAGCUAGUCCUAUUUAUUUACAUUUUUAAAAAAUGCUUAAUUGUUUUCCAGCAAUGUACAAAAUGAGUCCCGUAAAUGUCAAUGGAACCUGUCUCCAAGUUACAGUAUUACUGCAUACAGGACUGCAAUCUAUAUCACUGGACUAACUUUGACCAUUUUCUUCAAGCAACAUGAAUAAUUAAUGGUAUUGACUAUGAAGAGAUCCACUCCCUGAGACCUCUUUAGAAAGGAUUAGGCCAGGGCUGGUAUAAUCUGUGUUUCUCCAGAUGUUGUUGGACCCAAAUUCCCAUCAGCCCCUGUCAGCAUAGCCAAUGCUCAGGGAAGAUGGGAGCUGUAGUCCAGCAGCAUAUGGGGGGCAAUAGCCCACUCCACCCCUGGAACAGGCAAAUCCAUGGUGGCUCUCUCAACAGCCAUGACAGUUACCUGGAAUUUCCAGGUUUAUAUGCUAAUAACAAACAACAAGUAAAGGCCAACAGCUUCACUUCCCUUCUUCAGAGUUCCUCAGAGGCAUCUGUCAAUCUGUGGUUGGAAAUAAAAUGCUGGACUAAGUGGAUCUUGUUCCAAUUCACUAUACCAUUAUUUUACUUUCUUUCUGUCUCAGCUUUCAAUACCCUGCCCAACUGACUCCGUGUAGUUCUGCACUGCAAACCUCAAGUCAAGUAUGUUUUCUGUGGGCCAACAGAACGGUUAUCUGCAAACAUAUCGUUUGCGUGAGACAUCCCUCCAGAAUCAAUGUUGGUGUUAAAAUUGCAGGCGGCUCAAUUUCUUUCUACUGGAAGUACAUAUGGGAGCAAUAAAAGCUGUCUCCAUCAGAUGACACAUCAGAUUGGGAUUCCCUUUUAACCAUCACCAGUGGGCUGCUGUCCAAGUGGAGAUGGAAGAACAGGGAGCAGUUUUGGCAAAAUGCCACAAGGCUAGCACUAAAGCACAGAGGAAGUGUUGGAUGAGUAGUAAGCAGGAGCUCCUCCUGUCUGUUUUAUGCUUUGCCAGUGGCUUGUUCCAUAAACCAGCAGCGUAGCAAAUGUUAAUCUCCACAGUGAAGAAAUAAUUGACCCAGUCUUGUACUCAGUACAUCCUGUUGUGUGGCUAUAGAGCAGUAGUGAGGAACCAGUGGCCCUCCUGACAUUAUUGGACUACAACUUCCAUUAUCCCUGGGCCAUUGGCCAUGAUAGGAGUCUGGAAUUUUAAAGAUCUGUCAUUUACUGUACAUUGCUUGCUAAUAAAUUGUAUGGUAAAGGAAAUCCACAUAUCUCACUACUAUUUAUAUGGAUAACACUUUCCAUGCUCAUUUGUCUGUAUUUUGCUUAUAUCUAUUUUUGAAUUUGAUAUUUUGCUG